GACGAACGCUGGCGGCGUGCUUAACACAUGCAAGUCGAACGGAAAGGCCUCUUUCGGGGGGUACUCGAGUGGCGAACGGGUGAGUAACACGUGAGUAACCUGCCCUUGACUUUGGGAUAACUUCAGGAAACUGGGGCUAAUACCGGAUAGGAGCUCCUGCUGCAUGGUGGGGGUUGGAAAGUUUCGGCGGUGGGGGAUGGAUUCGCGGCUUAUCAGCGUGGUGGUGGGGUAGUGGCUUACCAAGGCUGUGACGGGUAGCCGGCCUGAGAGGGUGACCGGCCACAUUGGGACUGAGAUGCGGCCCAGACUCCUACGGGAGGCAGCAGUGGGGAAUAUUGCACAAUGGGUGGAAGCCUGAUGCAGCAACGCCGUGUGCGGGAUGACGGCCUUCGGGUUGUAAACCGCUUUCGCUCAUGACGAAGCUUUGUGUGACGGUAGUGGGUAAAGAAGCACCGGCUAACUACGUG
Molecule: ribosomal RNA, 467 nt
Filed under: uncultured bacterium
Lineage: Bacteria
Description: partial 16S ribosomal RNA
Rfam family: Bacterial small subunit ribosomal RNA
Source: RNAcentral